Molecule: long non-coding RNA, 121 nt
Organism: Nanorana parkeri
Lineage: Eukaryota; Metazoa; Chordata; Amphibia; Anura; Dicroglossidae
Exons: 3
Source: RefSeq, a predicted model, not a curated record
GAGGCCUUUCCUGCUGUGUACGGGGUAAAUGCAUGGAAGCCUGUGACAGGACAGACAUGGUGCAGGGACCUGUCACCCCCUCCUCCUCUGCGAGCCUCUCUGGAGAUCUAUAUAUUAUACA